CUUAGUGGCGGACGGGUGAGUAAUGCUUAGGAAUCUGCCUAGUAGUGGGGGAUAACUUGGGGAAACCCAAGCUAAUACCGCAUACGACCUACUGGUGAAAGGGGGCUUUUAGCUCUCGCUAUUAGAUGAGCCUAAGUCGGAUUAGCUGGUUGGUGGGGUAAAGGCCUACCAAGGCGACGAUCUGUAGCUGGUCUGAGAGGAUGAUCAGCCACACUGGGACUGAGACACGGCCCAG
Molecule: ribosomal RNA, 235 nt
Filed under: uncultured Pseudomonadales bacterium
Lineage: Bacteria; Pseudomonadati; Pseudomonadota; Gammaproteobacteria; Pseudomonadales
Description: partial 16S ribosomal RNA
Rfam family: Bacterial small subunit ribosomal RNA
Source: RNAcentral